Molecule: ribosomal RNA, 439 nt
Filed under: uncultured bacterium
Lineage: Bacteria
Description: partial 16S ribosomal RNA
Rfam family: Bacterial small subunit ribosomal RNA
Source: RNAcentral
CUACGGGGGGCUCCAGUGAGGAAUAUUGCACAAUGGGGGGAACCCUGAUGCAGCAACGCCGCGUGGAGGAUGACGCAUUUCGGUGUGUAAACUCCUUCUAUAUGUCAAGAAAAUGACGGUAGCAUAUGAAUAAGCACCGGCUAACUCCGUGCCAGCAGCCGCGGUAAUACGGAGGGUGCAAGCGUUACUCGGAAUCACUGGGCGUAAAGGACGCGUAGGCGGGUUGGAAAGUCAGGUGUGAAAUCCUACAGCUUUACUGUAGAACUGCACUUGAAACUUCUAAUCUAGAGUAUGGGAGGGGGAGAUGGAAUUAGUGGUGUAGGGGUAAAAUCCGUAGAUAUCACUAGGAAUACCUAAAGCGAAGGCGAUCUCCUGGAACAUUACUGACGCUAAGGCGUGAAAGCGUGGGGAGCAAACAGGAUUAGAUACCCUAGUAGUC